GACCGGAAGUGACGUCUAUGCUUGGCUGGCCGCGGUGUCCGCCGAAGCUCUCGGCAGCGGCUGAGGCGACUGAGUGGAAAAUGGCUCGGAUUUUUGCGGCUGUGGCGCCUUGGGUUGUGGUGGAGGCAGAGGCUCAGGCAGCGUGAGCACCUAGAACAGUGCCUGGUGUUGAACAUACACCUGCUGCUACUGCUGCUGCUGCUAAGUCGCUUCAGUCGUGUCCGACUCUGUGUGACCCCAUAGACGGCAGCCCACCAGGCUCCCCUAUCCCUGGGAUUCUCCAGGCAAGAACACUGGAGUGGGUUGCCAUUUCCUUCUCCAGUGCAUGAAAGUGAAAAGUGAAAGUGAAGUCGCUCAGUCAUGUCCGACCCUCAGCGACCGCAUGGACUGCAGCCUACCAGGCUCCUCCAUCCAUGGGAUUUUCCAGGCAAGAGUACUGGAGUGGGGUGCCAUUGCGUUCUCCUAACAUACACCUAGUGAAUAUUUAUUGAAAAGAUGAAUAAAUUCAGUGGUGCUUGAAUGACAAAUAAAAGUUAUUUUUUUAAAAUACGUAUUUGAAUAUUCUCUCAUGACUUCUAGGUUUUUUAAUCAUAUUA
Long non-coding RNA from Bos taurus (domestic cattle), 596 nucleotides. Lineage: Eukaryota; Metazoa; Chordata; Mammalia; Artiodactyla; Bovidae. The record is from Ensembl.